GUCUACAGCCAUACCACCCUGAACGCGCCCGAUGUCGUCUGAUCUUGGAAGCUAAGCAGGGUCGGGCCUGGUUAGUACUUGGAUAGGAGAAACAAACACAAGGAAGCAGCCA
Molecule: ribosomal RNA, 112 nt
Filed under: Myotis davidii
Lineage: Eukaryota; Metazoa; Chordata; Mammalia; Chiroptera; Vespertilionidae
Source: RNAcentral